AUGAAGCAGAAUUCUUCCUACAAAGGCAAGUGGCAUGCGCCCCUGAUUGACAACCCCAGCUACAAGGGAAUCUGGAAGCCCCAAGAUAUCCCCAACCCUGAGUACUUUGAGCUUGACAAGCCUGACUUUGAUCCAAUUGCUGCUAUUGGAAUUAAGAUCUGGACAAUGCAUGAUGUGUUACGCUCCCCUUAG
Molecule: ribosomal RNA, 192 nt
Filed under: Triticum aestivum (bread wheat)
Lineage: Eukaryota; Viridiplantae; Streptophyta; Magnoliopsida; Poales; Poaceae
Description: partial small subunit ribosomal RNA
Source: RNAcentral